RNAcentral lists this ribosomal RNA (542 nucleotides) under uncultured bacterium. RNAcentral's name for it is "partial 16S ribosomal RNA". It matches the Rfam family "Bacterial small subunit ribosomal RNA", at positions 355 to 908 of the family's 1533-position model. The record is from RNAcentral.
UGGGGAAUAUUGCACAAUGGGCGAAAGCCUGAUGCAGCAACGCCGCGUGAGUGAUGAAGGUCUUCGGGUUGUAAAGCUCUGUCUUUUGGGACGAUAAUGACGGUACCAAAGGAGGAAGCCACGGCUAACUACGUGCCAGCAGCCGCGGUAAUACGUAGGUGGCAAGCGUUGUCCGGAUUUACUGGGCGUAAAGGAUGCGUAGGCGGAUUUUUAAGUGAGAUGUGAAAUACCCGGGCUUAACUUGGGUGCUGCAUUUCAAACUGGGAAUCUAGAGUGCGGGAGAGGAGAAUGGAAUUCCUAGUGUAGCGGUGAAAAUGCGUAGAGAUUAGGAAGAACACCAGUGGCGAAAGGCGAUUCUCUGGACCGUAACUGACGCUGAGGCAUGAAAAGCGUGGGUAGCAAAACAGGAUUAGAUACCCUGGUAGUCCACGCCGUAAACGAUGAGUACUAGGUGUAGGAGGUAUCGACCCCUUCUGUGCCGCAGUUAACACAAUAAGUACUCCGCCUGGGAAGUACGAUCGCAAGAUUAAAAACUUAAAAGG